CGAUGAACUCCAGCUUGCUGGGGGGAUUAGUGGCGAACGGGUGAGUAACACGUGAGUAACCUGCCCUUGACUCUGGGAUAAGCGCUGGAAACGGCGUCUAAUACCGGAUACGAGCUUCAGCCGCAUGGCUAGGAGUUGGAAAGAAUUUCGGUCAAGGAUGGACUCGCGGCCUAUCAGCUAGUUGGUGAGGUAAUGGCUCACCAAGGCGACGACGGGUAGCCGGCCUGAGAGGGUGACCGGCCACACUGGGACUGAGACACGGCCCAGACUCCUACGGGAGGCAGCAGUGGGGAAUAUUGCACAAUGGGCGAAAGCCUGAUGCAGCAACGCCGCGUGAGGGAUGACGGCCUUCGGGUUGUAAACCUCUUUUAGUAGGGAAGAAGCGAAAGUGACGGUACCUGCAGAAAAAGCACCGGCUAACUACGUGCCAGCAGCCGCGGUAAUACGUAGGGUGCAAGCGUUGUCCGGAAUUAUUGGGCGUAAAGAGCUCGUAGGCGGUUUGUCGCGUCUGCUGUGAAAUCUGGGGGCUCAACCCCCAGCCUGCAGUGCGUACGGGCAGACUAGAGUGCGGUAGGGGAGAUUGGAAUUCCUGGUGUAGCGGUGGAAUGCGCAGAUAUCAGGAGGAACACCGAUGG
This 635-nucleotide ribosomal RNA is filed under the name bacterium 78-L049659-122-016-F10. RNAcentral describes it as "bacterial SSU rRNA". It matches the Rfam family "Bacterial small subunit ribosomal RNA", at positions 67 to 715 of the family's 1533-position model. The record is from RNAcentral.